Molecule: ribosomal RNA, 264 nt
Filed under: Mantidactylus katae
Lineage: Eukaryota; Metazoa; Chordata; Amphibia; Anura; Mantellidae
Description: partial 16S ribosomal RNA
Source: RNAcentral
AAACUAAUCUUCCCGUGAAGAAGCGGGAAUAUCCCCAUAAGACGAGAAGACCCCAUGGAGCUUCAAACCCAAUUACACCCCUAACACCUAUGACCACUUAACCCUUAGGAUUCUGUAUUAUCGGUUUUAGGUUGGGGCGACCACGGAGUACAACAAAACCUCCACAAUGAACGGAACUACUUCCUCAUCUGUGAGCUACACCUCUGAGAAUUAAAAUAUUAACAUAAAAUGAUCCAUUUUUUGAUCAAUGAACCAAGUUACCCU